GUUCCCCAACCCAGUCCUCAUGGGCCACCAACAGUCCAGGUUUUGUCAAUAUCUCCAUUGGAAUAAAACAGGGACAUUUAUAAAUCCUGGACUGUUGGUGGUCCAUGAGGACAAGGUUGGGGAC
Molecule: non-coding RNA, 124 nt
Organism: Pelobates cultripes (western spadefoot toad)
Lineage: Eukaryota; Metazoa; Chordata; Amphibia; Anura; Pelobatidae
Source: the annotation of a GenBank genome assembly